RNAcentral lists this transfer RNA (69 nucleotides) under Rattus norvegicus (Norway rat). It matches the Rfam family "tRNA". Rfam says of the family: Transfer RNA (tRNA) molecules are approximately 80 nucleotides in length. Their secondary structure includes four short double-helical elements and three loops (D, anti-codon, and T loops). The record is from Rfam by way of RNAcentral. Lineage: Eukaryota; Metazoa; Chordata; Mammalia; Rodentia; Muridae.
GGGGAUUUAGCUCAGUGAUAGAGCGCUUGCCUAGGAAGCGCAAGGCCCUGGGUUCGAUGCCCAGCUCCG